This is a long non-coding RNA of Panthera uncia (snow leopard), 1690 nucleotides long. RefSeq lists it as uncharacterized. The record is from RefSeq and is a predicted model, not a curated record. Lineage: Eukaryota; Metazoa; Chordata; Mammalia; Carnivora; Felidae. The transcript is spliced from 6 exons.
GUGCCUCAGUGUUCUUUCACAUGGGUUAUCUCUGUCUCAUCUUCUAGGAAUUCUACACUCUGCCUCUCUGUGCCGCAGAGUUUCCUGGACUUCCAUGAAGCUGGUUCCAGGAGAAAGCCUUCCAAGAAGAGCAGCCCCAAAAUGCAAACACUUACAAGCCUAAUUACUGCCACUAAAUAAUAAAAGAAGAAACUGCAUGGAUCAUCCUGGAUUUCACAAAGUACAGUGCCAAAUACAAGAUGUUCAUCUGCAUGAAAAGAAAAUCUCCAGCAUCAUGCACCUCACAGCAUCCCAAGCACCAUGAGCUGUUUGAUUCCAGGAGCUGACCUGGUGCAGUGCAGCUGGUUUCACGGUUGGGCUGUCCGCUUUUUGCUGAACCUUGGUCGGAGAUGGCAUACUGCUGACGGCAGGUUCCUCCAUGUCAUUGCAAAUGGCAAGACUUCAUUCUUUUCAUGGCUGAAUAACAUUCCAUAGAUCCUGGAGAAAUGAUGUGCCCUCCUGGGAAAUUAACCAUAUGAUCAACUACACUUGAAAUUCAGAAGAGCUGCCAGAAGCUGCAGUUGUACAGCAAAACACCUCAGUGCCCCUGUGCAGAACAGCGUUUUCCUGCUGCCCCACCCACAAUGACAGAUGUGUGAGACAAAGGAUGACUUCCUAGUUAAAAGAAUUUUAGGCAACAUGCAACAAGCAGGAGAUUUUUGUUUCUUUUGGCAACCCUGAACUUCUAUUUCAUAUGGCCGUUAGAGUAAUUAAGAGAUGUGAAAACACAGUCUGGGGGUGUCCCUUCUCUGAUCCCCCGGGGAUGGUCCCAAAGGCCAGGCAAAAGGCCUUUCCUCUGAGUUUCUCCCUUCCUCUGUCCCCUACCUCAGUGGGGAUGAAUUGUUAGAAUGAAUCUGUUAUAAUUAAGGUAGGAGUUAGUAAAUUUUCAAGUAAUCAACUCUUCAUCUGAAGUCUCAGAAAGCAUCAUAUGUAUGUCUACAUGUCUCCUCAUAUCAUUCCUAGCUCUGGAUAUGAGAGUUCUGAAGCAGCAGUUGUGUCCUAGAUUACACGCUGCCUUCCACGAGUGCAGAUCAAGCAGGCUGACCAUGCAUUGCUAUUAAUCCUUGGCCCUAAGAACCCUAGUGGCUAUUCUGAUGUAGCUGGUCACUCCUGUUUUCUAACCCACUUAGGAAGAAAAUCACCUGGAAUAUGAGGACCAUGUUUUCUAACAAACAAAACAGAAACAAGAUACAUGGGCUGACAAAGGACGUGGCAACAGGAUGGAAUAUUUUAAAUCAGAUAGCAGUAUAUAAGGGUGGCAGAGUGGCCCUUCUCAUGCCUACUCUCUGGUUUUGGAGAUAUAAAACCAUGAGAUACUUACACAAGGAAAGGAGUGAUCCCUUUUGAUUGAGUUCCUUAGGAAAACAUUUCUUUUUAUACAUAGGUCCUAGUGGAUGUAUCAUAUGAGAGUAAUGUUUCCUAUCACAGAGGAAACUCUGCUCCAAGAAUUGUACCAAAAUGUCACAACCAAACUAAAUAGUAUCCUUAAGAAUCCUCUAUUUGGGGAUCCUGAUGACUUUUAUAACAUAAAAGCUCAACUUUUUAAAAGUCUAAAAUUAAAUAGGUGUUGAUAAAUAAGCAUUUUCAUCUUUGUGUGUUUAUGCAAAGUUGACAUGUCUUUCAACUCUUUUGAAAUAAUACGCUCUACCUC